AUGCUAUUCAAUAUGGUUGAUGAUACUAGUUUUAUUUCUCAGAUUUUUGUUCAUUAUCAGUAUGAUCUAACACAAACAUGUAAAUUCAUAGCUGGAUUGCAAUAUCACAGCCAUCAAACAUGUAAAUUAAAAGGCAAAAAAAUAAUAAUCCAAGUUUCAAUCUCCAAGGAUAAGGAUUGUAUUUUGACUGCCAUGGAAUUGUAA
Vicia faba (fava bean) is the source of this 204-nucleotide non-coding RNA. The record is from the annotation of a GenBank genome assembly. NCBI's taxonomy places the organism in Eukaryota, Viridiplantae, Streptophyta, Magnoliopsida, Fabales, Fabaceae.